UCCAGUCGUUGUUUAUGAUGACAACAUAUCUCAGCUCACUCAGAUCAUUCAUGAUCGAAAACUUUAUCCUAUAUCCAACAUUCAUCAAAGUACUGAUUAAACUAC
RNAcentral lists this small nucleolar RNA (105 nucleotides) under Zygosaccharomyces rouxii. Lineage: Eukaryota; Fungi; Ascomycota; Saccharomycetes; Saccharomycetales; Saccharomycetaceae. The record is from RNAcentral.